ACUUAUGCUUUAAAACGAUUGUA
Molecule: non-coding RNA, 23 nt
Filed under: Arabidopsis thaliana (thale cress)
Lineage: Eukaryota; Viridiplantae; Streptophyta; Magnoliopsida; Brassicales; Brassicaceae
Source: RNAcentral